UACGUAGGCAGCGAGCGUUGUUCGGAGUUACUGGGCGUAAAGCGUGCGUAGGCGGUGUCUUAAGUUUGUUGUGAAAUCUCCCGGCUUAACCGGGAGGGUGCGGCGAAUACUGAGAUGCUGGAGUGCCGGAGAGGUAAGCGGAAUUCCUGGUGUAGCGGUGAAAUGCGUAGAGCUCGGGAAGAACAUCGGUGGCGAAAGCGCUCUGCUGGACUGCAACUGACACUCAGGGACGAAAGCUAGGGGAGCGAAUGGG
This 253-nucleotide ribosomal RNA is filed under the name uncultured bacterium. RNAcentral describes it as "partial 16S ribosomal RNA". It matches the Rfam family "Bacterial small subunit ribosomal RNA", at positions 524 to 776 of the family's 1533-position model. The record is from RNAcentral.